This is an RNA transcript of Arachis duranensis, 1471 nucleotides long. RefSeq lists it as uncharacterized. Lineage: Eukaryota; Viridiplantae; Streptophyta; Magnoliopsida; Fabales; Fabaceae. The transcript is spliced from 4 exons. The record is from RefSeq and is a predicted model, not a curated record.
CAAACAAUCCAUUCAUUUCCCCUCAAUCAUCAUCUUCUGUCCCACUCAUUUUCCCCUUGUCAUCGCUAUAGAUUCCGCUCACACACAAACUACACAAGCAUAACAUGUUUGGUUCACCACGUAACCACCAGUAGCAUCCAUGUUCUAAUAACAACACAAGAAGUCCAAUCCCUUUCUUCAACUACAACUAACAAACUAAAACACCAAAAUAACCUUCAGUUACCGAUUUAUAUCCCAACUAAACUUCCAAGUGUCUUGUUCGCAUAUGUGAUCAACACAUAAUAAUAGCCUUACUCUUCCAUAUCCACAGUUUCUUUUUAUUAUUAUUAUUAUUAUUAUUAUUUUGAAAAUUUGGUUUACUUUUCUUCCAGUUUCUACACACUUCUAUUGUACCGGUACCUGAUUAUGACAAUGUGCUUUAGCUUGACCGAAACCAGAAACCGGUGCUACCGGUCAGCCUUCACAGGUUCGGGUCUCCGAUCGACCAUCACGGACCUCAGGGACGGAACCGUCAUGCACUGCUGGGUCCCCAAAACCCGAGCCUCUUCCAAACCGGGGGUACCGGAUGGCGGCGAUGUACGGAGAGGAAGUGGUGGAGAGAGUGGUGGUGUGCUGCUCGGGAGUAUGCAUGGAAGAGAAAGAUAUCAAAGAAGGGUUGUUUCCUGUUUCGGAUUUGGAAGAAGCUGCCUGCAUUUUGGUGCCUCAGAGUCCGGAGAGGCUGAGGGAGCUUGUUGGAUAUACGUUCUUUAGGCCUCCUCCUGUUGCUUGGUUGCCUUCUUGCUUCCUCUAUGAUUUCAUUGAUGCAAUGUGCAGGGACUAUGUAGAAGAACGGAGAGAACUAAUCCGAGCCAUUGCAAAGGACAGAAAACUUUGUGACAUCCCCAGGAUUUCUCAGCCUACGUUAAUUAUCUGGGGAGAGCAUGAUCAAGUGUUCCCUUUGGAGCUUGGUUACCGAUUGAAAAGGCAUUUGGGUGAGAAUGCACAAAUGGUACUAAUUAGGAAUGCAGGGCAUGCCUUAAAUGUGGAGAAGACCAGUGAAUUCCUCAAGAUAUUGAUAUCGUUUCUAGUGGAUUUUCAGCUACCUCGAGAGAGCCCAUUCAUCAUCAACUGUGAAACCAACAAUGGAGUUUGAGUAAUCAAACAGAGCACAUGGAGAAAGGAAAUCUUCACAUAAUAACAGAAGAAGAAAAAAGCAGGUUUCCCUGAAUAUUGGGUGACUCUGUUGAGGCACAUUCUUUUUAAAAUUUGGCUGGCUCUAAAGCUGAGGUGAGGCCUGUUGGCUAUUUCCAUUGGAAACAGUUAAAUGCAAAGGAGUUAAGUGGCUUGUUCGAUUGGUAGAUUUCGAGUCAUUCUUAGCUACUCUGGUAGUAAAUAAAAAGAUUUGUUCUCCAAUUAAUUUAUGUCACAUAUAUUAAAAUGACUUUAUUAUAAAUAACUAUUAAUGAUUUAAUGAUUUUCCAUUCAACUAAUA